GAACGCACAUUGCGCCCUUUGGUAUUCCAAAGGGCAUGCCUGUUUGAGCGUCAUUUCUCUCUCAAAUCUUCGGAUUUGGUUUUGAGUGAUACUCUUAGUCAGACUAAGCGUUUGCUUGAAAUGUAUUGGCAUGAGUGGUACUAGAUAGUGCUGAACUGUUUUCAAUGUAUUAGGUUUAUCCUACUCAUUGACCAGUAAAGUAUUUGUUUAUUACACAGGCUCGGCCUUACAACAACAAACAAAGUUUGACCUCAAAUCAGGUAGGACUACCCGCUGAACUUAA
RNAcentral lists this unclassified non-coding RNA (283 nucleotides) under Pseudocercospora sp. Its description in RNAcentral is "partial contains 5.8S ribosomal RNA, internal transcribed spacer 2, and large subunit ribosomal RNA". The stretch from base 1 to 53 matches the Rfam family "5.8S ribosomal RNA", at positions 102 to 154 of the family's 154-position model. The record is from RNAcentral. Lineage: Eukaryota; Fungi; Ascomycota; Dothideomycetes; Mycosphaerellales; Mycosphaerellaceae.